GCGGCGGUGGUGUAAGGGUAACAUAUAAGCUUCCCAUUUCUUCCAUUGGCGUUUGCUUAUGCAUCGAGUUCGAGUCUCGGUCGCCGCA
RNAcentral lists this transfer RNA (88 nucleotides) under Colletotrichum lupini. RNAcentral describes it as "tRNA-Gly". RNAcentral also lists the same sequence under 1 other name. The record is from RNAcentral. Lineage: Eukaryota; Fungi; Ascomycota; Sordariomycetes; Glomerellales; Glomerellaceae.